UUCCCUCUUUUGGGAUGAACACAGGUCUGCGCUUGCGAUUUCUUUUACUAACGAACAAAAAAGAUUUUUAAUUUUAUUCUACAGUUCCACACGUCCCUCUGUGAAAACAUGAUGGAGACAGAUGCAGGACGUGGGUCCUUUCGUGAACAAAUGUCAAUGGGGUGGAGACUGGUGAACGACUUCUGACCCCAUGUGAUGUAUUUACCUACUUUGCAUACUUUAUAAUUUUUUUUUAUUCUGCCUGUUAUGUGCAGCAAACAGUGAACUUGGUACCUCCACGUUCUAAUGACACACUACAUGCUUUUGUUUUUAUUUUUACUUUUCAGAGGACGCUCUGACCCAACACUCAGUCUUACAGGAAGCUCUGCUUCCCUGUGACUCAGACACAGACAUGAUGUAGUUUCGAACAGAGGAUGUGAACCAGUGGUCAUCACACCUAAAUCUGACCACAGACCAUGUAAACAACAACACCCUCCUAAAGGAAGCCAUAGAUGGCGUUACUGCAGACACCACUAAGCUACUGAAACAUUGGAUGCUACAGGCCACAAAUCGAGCCUGUCUAAAUUACAGUUUGUUCAAACAAAGGUGUUUUUCUGGGUCAUUGUAAUUACAGCUGAUGGCAAAUCCAUCUCACCCAACAGAGUUAAAGCAAUUUGAAACCUGCCUAAAUCGUGCACGUAAAAACAGCUGAUGUCUUUUCUAGGUCUUUGUUCUUAUUGUAGGACUUUCGUUCCUAACUUUACCUUCUCUGAGGCCCCACUCAGGGUUCUGAUGCAGAUGUCUUCAUCGUCCACUUCUUGUCUCACGUGGACGUCUGAGGCUGAACAACGUUCACUGACCUCAAGCUUGCUCUUCAGUCGGCUCCUACUUUGGGUCUCCCUGAUCUGACCCUACGCGACCUUUCACUCAAACAGUGGAUGAGAAAUCAGGUUGUAUGACUUCUGUUCUUUUGUCCUCAUACUUUGAUUCUUUUGGAAUAGAUUACAUCUUUCUACAGCCCGAUGGCUUAGAUGCAACACCACUUUGCUCAACAUGCUGACCAUUACUAUCAAGAGGUCGUCUUGAAGUCUGGCUCUUUGCUAAGACACUACUCUGCUCAGGCUGCAGAGUUGAUCGCGUUGACUGAAGCUAGUAAACUAGCAGAAGGAGAGUCUGUUACCAUCUACACAGACUCCACAGGUGCUCUGUGGAAGCAUAGGAAGUUUUUGAAGUCUAAUUGCAAACCUAUCUCACAUUAUGAUUAGGUUCUGCUUUGCUGGACGCUGUCCUGCCACCUACAGCUAAUGCUGUUUGUAACUGUCCGACUUACUUAGUUCAGGAAGAAGCACUGGGACUCCAAACGGUGGCGAGGCCCCUUCCAGGUCCUUCUGACGACCCACAGAGAUCGCAGAGAGAGCGACUUGGAUCCACUCCAUCUACUGCAGGAAGGUCCCAGAUCCGACAGACGACCCUCCAUCUACAUCUACACGGAGAAAACCACCACUGACGAAAGGAACUGAGAAGAACGACCCUCGCUGUGCUCACACACGCACUGAGGCGAGGCUGCGUUGACCAUUCAGCUAAAGGUGUGAGCCAAGCGCCGCCUGAAGCUGCGCCGGUGAAUCACACUAUCAGACCAACAUCUACACACACGCUCCUGAGAAAACACACACACGAGCAGCCUUGAGUUGCCGACGCUGGACGACGUGUAGACUCUUCACAUCACAGGAGUGACGGUGACUCAGACGACAUUGGGAGGAAACCUGGCAGUGAUAACAAAUCCCAAGUGUCUCUGUGAUCAGCUGAUCACAACCUGAAGAACCCCAACGAACUGUCAAUACUUCAACACACUAGUUGGAAACAAUCUAACGCUACUGGGGCCCAUUUCAAGAAGGAGGUUUAACAAACUCUGAGUUAAAACGAAACUCUGAGUUGAUCUAAUCUGAGUUUGCAAACCUGGAGUUUUCGGUUCCAGAACAGCUGAAAAGAGUUGGUUUAAGCAACUCUGAGUUGACUGACUCAGAGUUAAGCACGUGCACCGCGACGAUACAAAGCCCUGAUCAAUGGAGUGAAGAUAUUACGAGUCACCAUGGCAACAGGACAACAAAAGACGUCCGGAAAUGGAUAUGAUACGUCAAGCAUAUAACGACUACGAGUCUAUAUUCCGUAGAAAAGGCAACACGGCUGCAGCGGCGAAAGAGAAAGAAUUAGCUUGGAAGAAAAUAGCUCCUCGAGUCAAUGCCCAACAGAAAGAAGGCAGAGGCUAGAACAACUGGUGGAGGACCUGCACCUCCACCUCUGACGCAUGCAGAGGAGAAGGCCCUCAGCCUGAACACUGGAGAGAGGCUGAGGCUGAAGGAAUUCAUCAGAACCCGUCACUCCCCAGGAUACAUGUGCAUGUGUAAAAUGUAAGAGGUCUACCUAUAUAUUUGAUUUUUUACAUAGGCUACUUUUGAUAUAUCCAUUUCUUAGUUUCUUUUACUUUUCUUAGAGUCUGGGCUGGGUUCUUUGUUGGUCUUAACAGAUUCUGAUGGUAAUAUAUGAAUCCUCCUGUCACAACAGAGGCCCAGGAUGUUAGUGUGGAAGAACAGCAGGAGGAGGUCAGUCACAUUCUGCUGCACAGAUGCACACAGUUCAGUGAUGUUCAGUAAAUGCCAGAGUUCAAUUCUGUAAGAGUAAAGAGGAACAUGUCAUUUCAAGAUGUCAUGUAACUCUAA
Long non-coding RNA from Betta splendens (Siamese fighting fish), 2696 nucleotides. RefSeq lists it as uncharacterized. The transcript is spliced from 3 exons. The record is from RefSeq and is a predicted model, not a curated record. NCBI's taxonomy places the organism in Eukaryota, Metazoa, Chordata, Actinopteri, Anabantiformes, Osphronemidae.